Long non-coding RNA from Mesocricetus auratus (golden hamster), 709 nucleotides. RefSeq lists it as uncharacterized. Lineage: Eukaryota; Metazoa; Chordata; Mammalia; Rodentia; Cricetidae. The transcript has 2 exons. The record is from RefSeq and is a predicted model, not a curated record.
UUGCAUCAGCACAAAAACUGAAAGACCCACAGGUGUCUUAAGUAUAGCAUUACUUGUGACAGUAGGGACCUGCACCUGUGUGUUGAUGCCCAUAUAUGUGGGCUCCCAUGCCCGACAGAUCGGCGCCCUCCAAAGGCAGUGCAGCCGAGGGCAAGGCUGCUUCCUGAGAUGGCCCUGAAGAGAUGGCAUUGUCCACAAGGGCGCGUGGUGGUGGCAGCCGCAGCAAAGAAGAGAAGGCGCCUGCGCGUUGAGGAGGCAGGAGGCACAGGGCAUCUGCAGGGCGGUCCUGGUGAGCUGGAAAAACCCGGGUAUUCGUUCUGCUUCCAGGAUCACACUCGGAGGCUGCCCGACCCAAGGGCUCUUUGCUGGGACCAUUCCCUUGCCUGGCCUCAGCACCACCUACUCCACGAUCUGCAGAACUGUGUCGUUUUUCAGGAUGCAAUGCUGGCUGGCGUCACCUCCUGUGCUUCCUGCCUACCUCCCUACUUCCCUGCCCCUCCUCCAAUUUCAGAACCCUGUCUCUCAGUGUACACAACCGUCUUGACUACAAAAUGGGCUGUGUGUGGCACAGCAGGGACCCCCAUUUCCCUACCCUGUGGAGAGUGCCUGGCACUCAGAGCUCUGAUUUGCAACGCUGUAAGAUGAAGUUCAUCUCCACCAUGGUGCACUUGGCCUCAUGCAGAAAGAAAAAUAAAAACUGCUUCCCUCA